AAAAAUUCUCAAAAAACUCACGGAAAAUGUCACUGAUUCCAAGAGUGUUCGGCGAUCGACGAAGCAGCGUCUUCGAUCCAUUCUCAAUUGACGUGUGGGAUCCCUUCAGGGAAUUGGGCUUUCCAGGCUCCAAUUCACGGGAGACCUCUGCAUUCGCUAACACACGAGUCGAUUGGAAGGAAACUCCUGAAGCACAUGUGUUUAAGGCCGAUCUUCCUGGUCUUAAGAAGGAGGAAGUGAAAGUGGAGAUUGAAGACGAUAGGGUUCUUCAGAUUAGCGGAGAGAGGAAUGUGGAGAAAGAAGAUAAGAAUGAUACUUGGCACCGUGUGGAACGCAGCAGCGGCAAAUUCAUGAGAAGAUUCAGGCUCCCGGAGAAUGCGAAAAUGGAUCAAGUUAAAGCGGCGAUGGAGAAUGGAGUGCUUACUGUAACUGUUCCAAAAGAAGAGGUGAAGAAGCCUGAUGUCAAGUCCAUUGAGAUCACCGGUUAGACGCUAUAUAUAAAAAUUUAUAUGUAAAUGUAGCGACCACUCUACGGAUUGCGUACUGAUGAAGAUGUGGAGUUGUUCUUCCUUCAUGUCUCCUUAUUUGGCCUAUUAACCGCUAAUGUAAUAAUAUUCCUGUUUUUGUACUGAGGUUCUGUUCAAAUCUUUUAUCUUGCUAUUUCCUUCUUUUUGCCUUUCUAUGUUCCAUCAGUUUCUCUUCGAGCCUUUUGAGUGAGAGACUUUUUGCUACUUUCUGUUCUCAUGUUCUGCAUUUUCAGUUAUAAGAUUCAAAAACAUAAUUAACAAAUCUAGGCUGUUCAAAACUUAUUGAAGCUCAUCGAAUUUGCGACAUAAUAUCAAUCAGAUGUUCAAUGCAUCAAUUCCCAUUUAGUUGAAUCCUGAGUUAGAUUUAGUUGAGGUUGGUAAUAUGUCAAACUAGGAGGGGCGGCUGGUUUUUUUUGUUCUCCUGUUAUGCGUUCUAAAUUUCAUUUUCUUACAAAUAAUUAAAUACAUAUAAAGAAUUAAUAAGAGUGGACAAUAACAGCAAAUUAGAAACUUGCUACUCACCGCCAUCAGCAUCACUUCAUCACUAGUUAGCCCCAAGUCAGUUUCAGUUGGUUCUUUUUUAUCAACAAAGUGUUAACCUUUUAAAAAAAAAUGAGCAUUAAGUUGGCUAAGCUCAUACAUUAGAAGCUUAGCUUCCCAUCGAUUGAAAGCAGCUUUUGUGUUUUCCUAAUAGUAACAAUCAGGCCAGCAAGUUUGUAAAAAUGACCGUAGGAAGAAAAGAUGUGCAUUCUGAGGCAACCUACAGAUGGUAAAACAGCUACUGAGCUGGUAUUACUAGACAGCACAAAUUUCAGGUCCUGGCCAUAUUGAAACUAGUGACUAGUAUUUAAGUAUUACACAUGUUUAAACCAAAAGUAUGAAAUAGUUCAUUAAAAGACUCGGGCUUUUUGACCAUUAAAUCUAAAUACAAUGUGCAUCUUUUUAUACAAAAUGAUUCUUUUGCUCUUGUUUUAUAUAUUGUCAUUGUCAUGCAAGCCAAAACAUAAAACCAGCUAUAUUCAAGCCAAGAUCAAAAAUACAAUACAAGACGAGGAAGACGGUUGUUAUAUUAAAGAUAACUUCUUCUAUUGAUGAACACCAUUCAUUCUGGCUGGUGACAAUGCAAUAAGUUCUCUGGAAAUGCAGUAACAAGAAAGAUGGUUUAGCUCCCAAUCAUAAUGAAGUCAGUUUUCAUGAUUUCAAAAUUUUUUCCCAAUACCUCAUAGCAAAAUUAAGAGCCAAAUAAAUGACAUCAAGAACAGAACUACAAAGCUGCAUAAAGCCCCGAGGAAGAAAUAUUCGAUGGAAGAGUCGAGACGCCGAAAUACUGACGGAAGAAUGACGAUCCGAUAGCAUAUUACUCCAAUGAGUUAAUCAAGUCCUUAAAAUUAAACACCAGCCAAUCAGCUUUGGCUGCAACUGGUUCUCGAAGUUGAACUCCUCCAUAGCAAAUAAACAAGUUAUUGUGAUGCAGACUGAGUAAGUUGUCCGAAAUCAAGGAGAUUAAUAACUGGUUACCUCAUAAAGCUUGGUGGCUCAUUGAUAUCUUGGAAAACAAAGAAAAAAAAUAUAGUGGCAAAAAGCUCAGCUGAAUCAGAAAACAAGACUGACUAUAAGAGAACUUGUCUAGUUGAUGGGAUUGUUCAAAGAGUUGGAGGCCAAGGUUCCUACGCCAGUUCAAUUGUUUACAAAUAUUAAAGCAGUAAUGCAGAUAGCUAAUAAUUAUGUAUUUUAUGAAAGGACUGAGCAUUUAUAAAUUGAUUUCCACUUUAUAAGGAAAAAGGUUCAACAAGGUAUGAUACAUCCAGAGUAUGUAUCAACUAAUAAGAAGGAAGCUGAUGUGCGGACAAAAGGGCUGGAAAGUGCUCAACAUUAUCAUUUGAUAUCCAAUCUAGUGACAUUGUACAUUUUCUCACCACUUAGUUUGAGGGGGGAUUGUUGAAAUGAUAAGGUGACAGUUAGGUGACAUUUAUAUAUGUGAAGCAUUUACAAGUAUUGGUGCCAAUCUAUUAGAAUAGCUAGUACAUAUUAGGGAGUUAGUGAUAGUUAAUUAAGUAGCUGAUUUAGUUAUAUAUACUUACACGUGUACAAUGUAAUAGUUUAGAGAAUUGUAUUUUCAUUUCUUAAACUUCAGUUGAAUUAAAAGCUUCUAGUAAGUUCUCUCUCUACACCUUUCUUCUUCGAUCUGGCAAUCAAGCUCAAUUCUCACCCAACAAUGGUGAAAUUUAACAACUUCUAGUAGUCGUUAUUUUUCCAAGGCGUAUUUGUCAAUUGUUUUAUGUGAUAUUUAACGAAUCUUUCAUUUAUUUAUAGGAUAUGAUGGUCAAAUUUCACUGUCCUUAAUUACUCCUUAGAAUAAAAGAGGGAGAAUAUAUGGUGUCAUUUUGGUCCACGUACUUUUUGUCAUGUCCAUCUAAUUAUUACGCUAGCACUCCCUCCGUUCACUUUUACUUGUUCACUUUAAAUUUUUUAUCUCCCUUAAAAAGUAAUAAUUGUAGUAUGUAUUUUAUCAUAUAACCCCUAAUAAUGAUAACAUUUCAAAAAGUCGAGAGAAAUAAUAUUGAAUAUGAACAAUUAAUGAUAAGGGUAAAAUAGAAAAAGAAAAGAGUGUCUUUCUCUAGAUUUAGUAUAAUGGACAAGUAAAAGCAAAAAUAUAAUUUUAGUAUAGUGGACAAGUAAAAGUGAAUGGAGUGAGUAAGUCUUAAGGAAUAAACUAUAUGUGAGCAUGUUUACUCAAACUUCUAAAAUCAGCUUAUUUUGAGAAAUAUUUUUCAAAACAUACUUUUGAUAAGAAAUAUUUUGUGUUGACUACUCUGAAAAAUACUUCAAAACAACAAUUAGUAUUUGUUCAAACUUUUAAAAAAUACUUUUAUGUGUAUUUUUUUAAAGUGUCUUUGAAGAAAGUAUUUUUGAGGAAAUUUUACGUUUUCUUUUUCAAGAAAAAUAUUUCUAAUUCAACUCAAAAAUAUUUUUUUCUUUUAAAAGUUUGGCCAUAAAAAAUCUUGGCAAAACAUGUCAAUAGCACCUUUGAUCAAUCUUUUCGGGUGUAUGGAUAGAAAUCUGACCAUAUGGUGAAAUAGCGUUAAAAGAAAUGGCGAGGGGCCGACUAAGUUGUGGUUGUAUCCAUAUGGCAUCAUGAUGACAAGUAUCAUGGCCGCUGUCGAGAUCGAACUACUAAAAAGCUUGUAUGGAGGAGUAUAAGCCGUGACACUUAAGGGGAACGACCUGAGAUUCGGGUAUUAUAACCAAGAACCGUUGGACAAAAGGGAAUACUUAUUAUAUAUAUAGGAGGUAAGAGAACAAGAAGGGGCUUUUUCCCCUUCAUCGAAAAGAGAGAGAAGAAACGGAGAAGGCUUCUAAGGAAAAACAAGAGAAGGUUUAGAUCUUGACCGUAAAUCUUUGUAACCUUUGUUACUGAAUCGAGAAAGAUAGACCCUUCUUUUCCAUUUCUACUCUUACAUUGGAGAAUAACUUCAAGAAUGUAAGCCUAUCAUUUAUGUUUGAUACUCUUUAUAAUUUUAAUACUUUUAUGAGCUUGGUUAUAUCAUAUUCUCUUAUUCAAUGUGUUUUGAUCUAGAGUUAAUUAUUCUUCGCUAGGAUUUAUCCUCUGUUAGGAUUUAUCCUCUAUUUUCUUAUUAAUUAGUUUAACAAAGAGCUUAAUACUCUUUGGUCAAACAGCGGGCCGGAAGAUUGACAUAUAAAGAAACUUUCAAAAACUAUUAAAGUUUAGUGGUUAUUAAUUUGUUGUAGCUACCAUUUACUAUAUUACUUCUUAUAGCUAUAUUUUAAGGUUUUUAGAGUGUAUUCGAUGUAUUUAAGCUACUGUAUUCAUGAACAGAGUAGCAUUUCUAGGCGCGAAACGGGGGAUUACAACUAGAUAGAUUUUUGCAUUCGACUGUAUUCACGACAUGAAAUAUGAGAUUACAGCUAGACAGAUAUUGUAUUCGACUGUAUUCACGAUAUAUAAUUGUGAAUACGGUAACGUAAAUAGCGUAAACCGUAGUCUAUUGAGCUGAUUUUAAACGAAAAGUAAAUCAAUUAACACAAUAAACUCCUAAUAUAACUCAACUAACUCAAUUAUAAGUCUGAAUACAUAAAGUCAUAUGAAUACAUGAAUUAUAUUAAUUAAAAAUAUGGAUACAUUCAUAAAAUAUAGCGAGACAACGAAUAUAAUGAAAUACAUAUAAUACAGCGAGAUAUAUUGAAAUAUAAUGAAAAAAAUAGUAACAAAUUCUUCGAGUUGCUCAGCUGCAAAACUCUGAAUACAUCGAGAUAUAUUAAAAUACAAUGAAAAAAAAGGGGUAACGGACUCUCAAGUUGCUCAAUACCAAAACUCUGUCGGCUUUGUUCAAGAAUAACCCUAAUGUCAUCUCGUCGAUAGCAGAUUUUGACGAAUUUUCACUUUGUUUCCAUCGAUAACCGAUGAAACGGAAUUGCUUGGAUCGCCGAAGAGUUUCAACGAAGGAAUAGAAUCAGUCGUGUUUUCGGCAUCAUAAAUUUCAAAACUUUGCAGUUCAAAUCCAUGGCAAAGAGAUGAGAUUCGAAACCGCACAAAUAAAAAUAUCUUUGAGAAGUUCUUUAAAAGUAAGCACCACGCUAUCAAACGAGCAAGAACUUCUGGAACUAAAUCUUUUUGCCGCCUAACUUUUGCAAAUUAUUGUUAUAGCAGCAUUACAAGAUUGAAACAUAUACAUUAAUAAAAAUAAUAAAAGACGAUGUGAAUGACAGAGAAUUUUAGUUGGAGAGAAGUUUUAUCAAAUACAGUAAUUAUGUGAGAAAAAAUUAGAAAAAGAAGAGAGAAAAAUAAUAAUUAGCAUAUAUAAUAAUUUAAGAAUAGAAAUUAACCAUAACUAGAUAUUUUGCUAUAAAUAUUAAAAGAUAGCUAUAAAAUAUAAUUUUUUGAAAAUAAUAUGUAUUUGAAAUAAAUAAAAAGUGAAGUUUUGCUAUAUCCUAAUAUAUAUAGCACUCUACUUUGGGAAACUAUUUAGUUGUAGUAAUAUAUUAUCUCUUCCUCAAUUACUUGAAAAAUUCAAAGUAGAACUUAACAUUUUUUACAAUAAAUGCAUAAUUAAAAAGUCAUACGUAAAAAAGAUUGAGAAUGAUUUGAAAGUAAAUUAAUUUUACUAUCUAAAUGUAAAUUUAUGAACCUUUUACAAAAAGACGGAAGUAGAAUUGCACAGAAUAUCCUCAUAGCUACUCGUCAAAUUAGGUAAUAGGCUAGGAGAAACGAACGAGAUUUAUCCAGAAACUUCUGACAUCAGCAUGUCUUCCUUGGGUUAGAAAAAUACCGAAGCGGAAAGAAAUAUCGGGAAUCUACUUGACUCUCCUCUACGCACACCUAUAAAUACCCAUCGGCUCCUCCUCCUAGAACCAGGGUCGUUGAAACUUGAAAGGAAAUUGAGAAGAGUUAUAACAAAAUUUGCUGAAAAUGUCACUGAUUCCAAGAAUGUUCGGCAAUCGACGAAGCAGCGUCUUAGAUCCAUUCUCAAUUGACGUGUGGGAUCCCUUCAGGGAAUUGGGCUUUCCAGGCUCCAAUUCACGGGAGACCUCUGCAUUCGCUAACACACGAGUCGAUUGGAAGGAAACUCCUGACGCACAUGUGUUUAAGGCCGAUCUUCCUGGUCUUAAGAAGGAGGAAGUGAAAGUGGAGAUUGAAGACGAUAGGGUUCUUCAGAUUAGCGGAGAGAGGAAUGUGGAGAAAGAAGAUAAGAAUGAUACUUGGCACCGUGUGGAACGCAGCAGCGGCAAAUUCAUGAGAAGAUUCAGGCUCCCGGAGAAUGCGAAAAUGGAUCAAGUUAAAGCGGCGAUGGAGAAUGGAGUGCUUACUGUCACUGUUCCAAAAGUAGAGGUGAAGAAGCCUGAUGUCAAAUCCAUUGAUAUUGCUGGUUAGAUAGGCGCUUUAGCUAACUGAAAUAUGACAGUACGCUAUGUUAUUUGAGCAAGUAUAUGUGAAAUCGAAUAGAAGUUGCUCUGUUUUUGUAUCUUGUCUAUAAUCGAGUCUGUUUUUCGCUUAAAGGCUUGUUUGUUGUAAUUUUGUUGAAAUUCUAUGUGGAAAAGGCAAUAGUGUUGUUAUAGAAUCAAAGUAUUGUUUAUACUUCAAUUCUGUUCUAUCUCCCAUAUUUUACUUCUUCUGUCUUCUUAGCUCCUUUUGGGUAUUGGUUUACGUAGUGAAGUAGAGAGCUUUAAGUUUUUUACUCUUGCACUUUAAUUUCGUACAAAGUGUCAAAGUGAAGAUAUAUUGACCUAUUAACUAAUCCACAAUUAAAACCAUUACGAUCGAUUUACCAAAUCAUUAUCAUUUUAGUGGGAGAAUUUGAAAAAAGAAUUACAUCAAGCAUACAUGAAGAUAAACUCCGUCGGUGUACUUAGAUUAGUUGAAAAAUUAAACUAGUUAAAUUAGCUGAACAUCAUUGACGUGAAUGAAAAAUUUUCUCGUUUGAGGGGAAUGCAAAACCUCUUGUAAUAGAUCUUUACUUCCUCAAUGGACUUUUCAGCUUGCUUGAAUUUAGAUUAAUUAAAUCGUGAAUUUAGAUUAGGAUUGCAAUACGGGAGUUUUGAAAAAGGAUCAAGGCUUAAGUACACCAUGUUGGGUCUAAUUGCGGGCGUAAGUGUACACAAUUAACAUGUAAUAAAGUGAUAAGAAAGUAUUGUUCCUGUGAGAAUUUAUGAUUAACCAGUGAUUUUUGUAAAUAAAUUAUGAAUUAAUAAUCAAGUAAGGAAAUAAAAUCGUAAUAGAGCAAACAAAUAUUUAGAAAGAAUACAUGAGAUGGGUAUAUUCCAGGUAUGGGCGUUCAUAAAAACCUGAAAAAUCGAACCAAAUCGAAAAUCAAACCAAAUCGGCCAAAAAAAUCGAUACUUUUUUGUUUGGUUUGAUUUUGGUUUUAAAUUUUAAAAAUCGAUCAAAUUUAGUUUGGUUUUGAUUAUUAUCAGAAAAAAAUCGAACCAAACUGACUAUAGGAGUAACUAUUUUAAAUUUAUUAUUACACCUAUAUAUAUGUAUAUUGUAAUACAAGGUUUCAAAAUAUUUAUGGUAAAUGUUAAUAGUUUGCACUUUUAAUAUAGUUCUUUACCUUUAUAUUUUAGUUUAAUUGGUAGUUUUCUUUUGUUUGGUGCAAGAAUUUAUUCUGUGUUAAAAAUAACAUAUUUUUAAUUGAAUCCUUAAAUUAUUCAUCAUUAUUUGAUUCAAUUAUCAUCAAUAUAUUUUGGUAAAUAAUAGAUUUCUCAAAGGACAAUUGAUUUGAUACUGUUACAAUGAAAAAGUAGUCUCCUGAGUAUGUGUUUGAUAGUAUAUGUCUUAUAUUUAAGAAAAAACAGACAAAUAACCAAAAAAAUCAAAAAACCGACAUAAACCGAAUCGAGAAAAAACUAACCUAAUUGGUUUGGUUUGAUUCUAUUAUUUGAAAAAUCGACUUACUUGGUUGGUUUCUUUUUAGGGAGAAACCGAUCCAAACCGAACCAUGAACACCCCUAAUUCCAGGGUUAUGGGAUUCAUCUAUUGUGUUUUCCGGAUUGAUAUAAUCACCUGACUUAUCUAAUCUACUUAUUAGCAGGGUUUAUUAUGCUCGCGAAGUUAUUUUGACGCUUCGCUCGCCUAUUCGAGCCAACCUAAGACUAUAUGUCUAUAGAAUCAAACUUGACAAGACGCAUGUAUAUUUCCUACAAAUAUAACCAACUAAGGCAACUAGAAUAUGUCUAUCCUAAUCGCGAAUCUAUUCUCCGAUGACCAAAUUCAAGAACUUACUCUAUUCAGUCCUAUAUGCAAUCUAUAGUUUCACGUUCGAGUUCAAAUAUAAAUUCGUAGAUAGUACUCUAUUAUUAGCUACGCCUUAGAAUAAUUAAGUGCAAGAUUGAAUGAACAAAUUAAUAUAAUAAAAUCGAGCAAUAUUAUCAACCGUCAAACUACAAUAGUCUAUAACAACUCAUAACCUAGAUAAUGAAGUUCUUAGCCACUCAUGUUCAUAACAAUACUCAAAAUAAUAUUUUAAACAUAAAAGCUAUGAAUACUAGAUGGAGAAUGGAAGAAUAAAUGAAUUUCAUGCUCCUGAAUAUUUCGUACUUAUAUUUUUCUCUCAAAGUAAUGUUUCCCCCUCCAAAAUAGAUUUAGACUUGCUUUUAUAUGAGUUGGGGGCAUUUUAGCUCGAAAUAACCAAGUCUCAAGUGAAAUAUGACAAGUUCAUGUCCCCAGUUUCGCUGGAAAUUUUGAAGGUCUGAUUUCUGUGCCACAGGCAGCACCCCACGCUAGCGCGGGCGCUACUUUGUGGCCUUUUUUCAAGCUCUUUCUUGAAGCUUGUUUCUUGUACUAAUUUCUAUGUUCUAGGUGCUUUUGAACUUGCUAUCAUACUUGUAUGCUUCUCCGGAGACUCUGAAAGAGGUCUCUGAGCUUGAGCUUGCCUUUUCAUCUCUACUUAAAAACCUUAGGAUUUGGGAGAUUUCUUUGGUAAAUUUGGUUUUAUGUUUGGACAAGGAUUCUACUUUGAAACCUUGAACUCUCAAACUCACUCCGAACUUAUGAAUUGAAUUUUGAACUUUUUCUGCAUUUGUGAUUUUGAACCUUCUUGUAGAAAAUAAGGUAAGAAUCAUAGAUUAGCAGCAAUUAAAGAAUUAUGUACCAAUUAAGAUCAAUCAGCAUAUAAUUUUUUCUUAAUUAAGGAGUCCAAAUUCAAACGGUAAUGGGUAGAAGUUAUUUAAGAAAGGAAACCAAGUAAAUAUCUUUUGUAAAGAAGACCAAUAAGGGGUAAAAUACAUAGAAAGGAAAAAAAUAGCGGUACUAGGUUUGUGAAAACAAGGAAAGAAAAUGAGUAAAAUAGUUAGUAAAGAGUCAAAUCAGGAGUAAAGGAAAGCAUUAAUUUAGAGAAAAAUCGAUUGUAGCAACAUUAAAAGGGAUUCAGAAUCAAUUAAUAGUUGGCAAGACUUUUGAAAGGGAAGUUGUCGUAUAUAAACACAUAGACAUGUCAAGAAUUACUGAAUUUGAAAUAUAUUAGCUACUAAUUUUCAUAUUUGACACUCAAAUGUUAAAAGCAAAAAAGGUUAGUUUUAACAAAUAGUUGGCACGUAUCAUCAUUAAUACUUAUUAAAUUAUUAUUUGAAAAUUUAAAAUUGUAUUAUUUCAUACAUACAAGAUAAUACUUAUUAAAAGUUAUAAACUGUAUUAUUUGUGAAUCAUUCAAGAUAACUCUUAUUCCUUAAUCUGAUAUAUCUUAAAAUUUCUUUUUAUGUACUUCACCAUAUUUAUAUAACAUGUUUCAUAUCAAGCUAAGAACUUUUUUGACUUAGAAUAGUAGUUUGUUCAAAAAUUAUUAUGCCUAGACGGUAUAAUUUAUUUCUUCUUAGACUUACAGAUGACGACUAAUGAAUUUGUAACCAGAGAAGCCGACCCAAUUUCGUAGCGCAUUUGCAUGUUUUUGUAUGGGCUUAUCGAGAUUGGUCCAGAAAGUUCUCGACAUCUACUUUAUCUACGUUCCAGAAUAUAUAGAAGUAUCGAGAAAGCACUAAACACUCUCUAUGACAGUAUAAAUACCUACAGGGGUCCUCUUCCUUGAACCAAGGAACUUGAAAACUGAAAUCACAUUCAAAAAAUUCUCAAAAAACUCACGGAAAAUGUCACUGAUUCCAAGAGUGUUCGGCGAUCGACGAAGCAGCGUCUUCGAUCCAUUCUCAAUUGACGUGUGGGAUCCCUUCAGGGAAUUGGGCUUUCCAGGCUCCAAUUCACGGGAGACCUCUGCAUUCGCUAACACACGAGUCGAUUGGAAGGAAACUCCUGAAGCACAUGUGUUUAAGGCCGAUCUUCCUGGUCUUAAGAAGGAGGAAGUGAAAGUGGAGAUUGAAGACGAUAGGGUUCUUCAGAUUAGCGGAGAGAGGAAUGUGGAGAAAGAAGAUAAGAAUGAUACUUGGCACCGUGUGGAACGCAGCAGCGGCAAAUUCAUGAGAAGAUUCAGGCUCCCGGAGAAUGCGAAAAUGGAUCAAGUUAAAGCGGCGAUGGAGAAUGGAGUGCUUACUGUAACUGUUCCAAAAGAAGAGGUGAAGAAGCCUGAUGUCAAGUCCAUUGAGAUCACCGGUUAGACGCUAUAUAUAAAAAUUUAUAUGUAAAUGUAGCGACCACUCUACGGAUUGCGUACUGAUGAAGAUGUGGAGUUGUUCUUCCUUCAUGUCUCCUUAUUUGGCCUAUUAACCGCUAAUGUAAUAAUAUUCCUGUUUUUGUACUGAGGUUCUGUUCAAAUCUUUUAUCUUGCUAUUUCCUUCUUUUUGCCUUUCUAUGUUCCAUCAGUUUCUCUUCGAGCCUUUUGAGUGAGAGACUUUUUGCUACUUUCUGUUCUCAUGUUCUGCAUUUUCA
RNAcentral lists this long non-coding RNA (10857 nucleotides) under Nicotiana benthamiana. RNAcentral describes it as "long non-coding RNA (NBEN_LNC029177)". The record is from RNAcentral. Lineage: Eukaryota; Viridiplantae; Streptophyta; Magnoliopsida; Solanales; Solanaceae.